GUGGAUCGAUAGAUUGCUGUAGAUCUGAGAGAUUGCUGUACAGCUGGGUGCUACACGAGUCCCCACAACCGCUGCUCCAUCAAACUCUCCCCAAAUAAUACCUCUUGCUCCUUGGUUCAGGGUUGUCCACAACGUAUACAAUUGACAUUCUGAAUCCUUGGAACAUCUCUUCUGUAGAAGGUGCUAAGAACAGGAGUAUUUAUGGUGGAGCAAGGAUUGCAGAUGGAUCUUCAGCUGGUUCAGAAAGGAUAACCGAAUGACAG
Molecule: long non-coding RNA, 263 nt
Organism: Astyanax mexicanus (Mexican tetra)
Lineage: Eukaryota; Metazoa; Chordata; Actinopteri; Characiformes; Acestrorhamphidae
Exons: 3
Source: RefSeq, a predicted model, not a curated record